UAACACUGGGUAACCUGCCCAUCAGAGGGGGAUAACAUUCGGAAACGGAUGCUAAAACCGCAUAGGUCCUUUAACCGCAUGGUUGAAGGAGGAAAAGAGGCGCAAGCUUCUGCUGAUGGAUGGACCCGCGGUGCAUUAGCUAGUUGGUGAGGUAACGGCUCACCAAGGCCGUGAUGCAUAGCCGACCUGAGAGGGUGAUCGGCCACAUUGGGACUGAGACACGGCCCAA
Molecule: ribosomal RNA, 229 nt
Filed under: uncultured bacterium
Lineage: Bacteria
Description: partial 16S ribosomal RNA
Rfam family: Bacterial small subunit ribosomal RNA
Source: RNAcentral